CGGUGAAUACGUUCCCGGACCUUGCACACACCGCCCGUCAAGCCAUGGAAGCUGGGUGUACCUAAAGUCGGUAACCGCAAGGAGCCGCCUAGGGUAAAACUAGUGACCGGGGCU
RNAcentral lists this ribosomal RNA (114 nucleotides) under uncultured bacterium. RNAcentral's name for it is "partial 16S ribosomal RNA". It matches the Rfam family "Bacterial small subunit ribosomal RNA", at positions 1360 to 1482 of the family's 1533-position model. The record is from RNAcentral.